Molecule: long non-coding RNA, 989 nt
Organism: Daphnia pulicaria
Lineage: Eukaryota; Metazoa; Arthropoda; Branchiopoda; Diplostraca; Daphniidae
Exons: 2
Source: RefSeq, a predicted model, not a curated record
UGUCUCGACUGUCAAGAAUUACAGAUAUUUGUAAACAUCGAAAUGAUUGGCUGCUUAAUUGUGGAAAUUUCAAUGGGAAGAAAAAAAUUUCACCUAAAAUGUGGGAGAAUGUGAAUGUGCAAAGUGAAUGCGGUGAAUGUCUUUUUUUUUUUUUAGUGUAGGUUUUGUUCGACGGUUGGUAUAUAGCGGUUUCUAGCUGUUGUGGAAUGGUAUGCAUUGCAUGGAAAACUCAUUCUUAUUUCACUAAUUGGCAGCUUUUUUUAGCAAUGCAAAUAUCAAACUCAAAGUGAUUGGCCAAAGCCAUCAUGGAGUAAUAGAUAAUUAUCUAUUACUCUGCCAAAGCACUACUUCUUCUCAUCAUUUACUUCCAAAAUAUAAUUAAUGGUUUACAAAGUGAACUGUUUUUUAAGUUUCUCUGUCAAAGCUUCGAGUCUCGAUUGUCAUGCUAGCUGCCUGCUACUAGUCGAUUAUCGAGCUCUGCGCAACUGUGCGCUGUCAACUUGUAGAAUUAAAAAUUUUUGUAAACAGGGUAAGCUACUAAUUCGAAAAUAAGCGACAAGAACAAAAUGUCUCUUAAAAUGUGGGAAAGUUAACAGCAGGCUUGCGCGGAUGUUUGUAUGAUGUUUGAUACAAAUGUUGAUAAAAACAAAAAUUUGAAAAUAGCUUGUGAAUCAAUAGUUUAAUCAUGUUUCCUUAUUAAACCAAAAUCAUAACAAAAUUAAAGAAAUAUUAGGUUUCCCCCGGUGCGGGUGGUUCGAUGUCGCCAUGAAACGCUGAUUCCAUGGGCUCAGGAGAUCCCUACAAAUUAAUUCAAUCUGAAUCCUGAUGUUAAAUUUCCAAUUUUUUUAAGAGAUCACUAACCAUUUCUUUAUCUUUUGAAUCCUCGUUAUUUAGGUCUUCGGCUUCGGCUUGAAAUUGAGCAAUUCCGUUGAGGACAUCCAUCGUAAGCUUAGGAAUGUGCAUUCGCUAUGAAUAUAAAUUUGCAUCAU